This 315-nucleotide unclassified non-coding RNA is filed under the name Hevea brasiliensis (rubber tree). Lineage: Eukaryota; Viridiplantae; Streptophyta; Magnoliopsida; Malpighiales; Euphorbiaceae. The record is from RNAcentral.
GUGCUACAUAUAACUGGACUGUUGGUUAAGAAACUUUCCCUAGUCCUUUUUAAACAAUUAUUGCUAAAAAUUUUAUAUUUCACAUUCUAAUUCUGUGAAUUCCUUUAGCUGUAUUUUUAUGUGCCAAAUCACAAUUAAACUUUUAUUAUAUGUAACUAGAAAAUUUGAAUAGUUCAGAUGAAAUCACCAAACCGAAGAAAAUAAUUAUAUAGUUCCUCGAAACUUAGAUUUUGGAUAUGUAGGCAAUUAUAUUGACUAGAAGUCAGGCUAAUGUCAGUUAUGCUUUGUUUUUGUAGAUACUGUCCCCCCAACAGC